RNAcentral lists this ribosomal RNA (254 nucleotides) under uncultured bacterium. RNAcentral's name for it is "partial 16S ribosomal RNA". It matches the Rfam family "Bacterial small subunit ribosomal RNA", at positions 524 to 776 of the family's 1533-position model. The record is from RNAcentral.
UACAGAGGGGGCGAGCGUUGUUCGGAAUUACUGGGCGUAAAGGGCGCGUAGGCGGCCUGCUAUGUCGAACGUGAAAUCCCCGGGCUCAACCCGGGAACUGCGUCCGAAACUGGCAGGCUCGAAUCCGGGAGAGGGAUGUGGAAUUCCAGGUGUAGCGGUGAAAUGCGUAGAUAUCACUUGGAACGCCAAAGGUGAAGACAGUCUGCUGGGGAUCUGCUGACGCUGAGACACGAAAGCGUGGGGGAGCGAACAGG